RNAcentral lists this long non-coding RNA (617 nucleotides) under Homo sapiens (human). Its description in RNAcentral is "HSALNT0298950". The record is from RNAcentral. Lineage: Eukaryota; Metazoa; Chordata; Mammalia; Primates; Hominidae.
UCCACCAUGUGAGGACACAGGAACCAGAAAGUAGACCCUCACCAGGCAUGGAAUCUGCCAGUGCCUUGAUCUUGGACUUCCAGCUUCCAGAACUCUGUGGGCACUGUUGGAGAAGUAUAAUGGAAAACAAAAUCUCCCAACCCAGAAAUCCUCUCUACAAAGGUAGCAAAGAAAGAAAACACUCUCAUUAUUGAGAAAAACAUUAAACCAGAAAGUGUUACACACCACAAGCAAUCUGCUAAGAGACAGCCAAGACAGAAAGGAAGCUCACCUGCUUAUGGAGCCAAGCAGACACAGCUCGUUCCACACACGUUUUCAAGACGGACAGUAACUGUUACCAACUGAGUCAGCUUUUCCCCUAAAGAUGGUAUCGUGAAGCCAAUACAUGAAACCCAAAGCGAGCCUCAAGCAGUGCGGACUUUAUUCAAUGGCCAAAGAAUGGAGAAGCAGGAGCAUGGCCGCAAGUCAACUUCUUGUCUAGUGAGAGCACCUGCCUGACUAAUACAUCAUGCUCUGCUGACUCCAUAUGUGGCUGGUUUCCUGGAUCCGAUUCUGACUGAUGGUAUCUGUUCUCACGCUGCUAAUAAAGACAUACCAGAGACUGGGUAAUUUAUAAA